GGUCUGAGAGGAUGACCAGCCACACUGGAACUGAGACACGGUCCAGACUCCUACGGGAGGCAGCAGUGGGGAAUAUUGCACAAUGGGCGCAAGCCUGAUGCAGCCAUGCCGCGUGUAUGAAGAAGGCCUUCGGGUUGUAAAGUACUUUCAGCGGGGAGGAAGGGAGUAAAGUUAAUACCUUUGCUCAUUGACGUUACCCGCAGAAGAAGCACCGGCUAACUCCGUGCCAGCAGCCGCGGUAAUACGGAGGGUGCAAGCGUUAAUCGGAAUUACUGGGCGUAAAGCGCACGCAGGCGGUUUGUUAAGUCAGAUGUGAAAUCCCCGGGCUCAACCUGGGAACUGCAUCUGAUACUGGCAAGCUUGAGUCUCGUAGAGGGGGGUAGAAUUCCAGGUGUAGCGGUGAAAUGCGUAGAGAUCUGGA
RNAcentral lists this ribosomal RNA (421 nucleotides) under Escherichia coli. RNAcentral describes it as "bacterial SSU rRNA". It matches the Rfam family "Bacterial small subunit ribosomal RNA", at positions 289 to 702 of the family's 1533-position model. Lineage: Bacteria; Pseudomonadati; Pseudomonadota; Gammaproteobacteria; Enterobacterales; Enterobacteriaceae. The record is from RNAcentral.